GGUCAGGACGAACGCUGGCGGCGUGCUUAACACAUGCAAGUCGAACGAAGCAGCAGUGAAGGAGGCUUCGGCCAAUGGAACUGUUGACUAGUGGCGGACGGGUGAGUAACGCGUGAGCAACCUGCCUUUCAGAGGGGGAUAACGUUUGGAAACGAACGCUAAUACCGCAUGACAUAACGGUAUCGCAUGGUAUUGUUAUCAAAGGAGCAAUCCGCUGAGAGAUGGGCUCGCGUCCGAUUAGAUAGUUGGUGGGGUAACGGCCUACCAAGUCGACGAUCGGUAGCCGGACUGAGAGGUUGAACGGCCACAUUGGGACUGAGACACGGCCCAGACUCCUACGGGAGGCAGCAGUGGGGAAUAUUGCACAAUGGGCGCAAGCCUGAUGCAGCAACGCCGCGUGAGGGAAGACGGUUUUCGGAUUGUAAACCUCUGUCCUUGGUGAAGAUAAUGACGGUAGCCGAGGAGGAAGCCACGGCUAACUACGUGCCAGCCGCGGC
Molecule: ribosomal RNA, 497 nt
Filed under: uncultured bacterium
Lineage: Bacteria
Description: bacterial SSU rRNA
Rfam family: Bacterial small subunit ribosomal RNA
Source: RNAcentral